CCUACGGGUGGCUGCAGUGGGGAAUAUUGCACAAUGGGCGCAAGCCUGAUGCAGCCAUGCCGCGUGUGUGAAGAAGGCCUUCGGGUUGUAAAGCACUUUCAGCGGGGAGGAAGGCGGUGAGGUUAAUAACCUCAUCGAUUGACGUUACCCGCAGAAGAAGCACCGGCUAACUCCGUGCCAGCAUCCGCGGUAAUACGGAGGGUACAAGCGUUAAUCGGAAUUACUGGGCGUAAAGCGCACGCAGGCGGUCUGUCAAGUCGGAUGUGAAAUCCCCGGGCUCAACCUGGGAACUGCAUUCGAAACUGGCAGGCUAGAGUCUUGUAGAGGGGGGUAGAAUUCCAGGUGUAGCGGUGAAAUGCGUAGAGAUCUGGAGGAAUACCGGUGGCGAAGGCGGCCCCCUGGACAAAGACUGACGCUCAGGUGCGAAAGCGUGGGGAGCAAACAGGAUUAGAUACCCUGGUAGUC
Molecule: ribosomal RNA, 465 nt
Filed under: uncultured Klebsiella sp.
Lineage: Bacteria; Pseudomonadati; Pseudomonadota; Gammaproteobacteria; Enterobacterales; Enterobacteriaceae
Description: bacterial SSU rRNA
Rfam family: Bacterial small subunit ribosomal RNA
Source: RNAcentral